Molecule: long non-coding RNA, 2970 nt
Organism: Cygnus olor (mute swan)
Lineage: Eukaryota; Metazoa; Chordata; Aves; Anseriformes; Anatidae
Exons: 3
Source: RefSeq, a predicted model, not a curated record
GGGCAAAUGCAACACUGAAGAGAUGUGAAGACUCAGCUAAAGUUUUUAGGGCCUUUAAUUGGAGGCAGCCACAACACAGUGAUAAUUCUGACUAGUGUUGCAAUGUGACAGCUAGCAUCAUGAGGGAAAAGAGAAAAUAUUGCAGAGAAAAGAUGUUCAGAUCCUCUAGGUCAUAUUCUCAGUCGUUUCUAAACUGUACCCUCCACCUUGCUUUGCUUUCUCUGGUCAGAGAUAUUGUUUAGGCAAUGCAGUGGCUUUAACUCCCCUACGUUGUUAGACAGACACAGGGACACUGGUGGCCGCCUUGACAGAGGUGGAAACGUGAUUUGCAGACCCGAUGUCCUGCCUCGUGUUUGAUCUGCGUGCCUGUGGCUGCCAGGUUGAUAAGCAGAACACAGAUUUGGAGCCUGUCCCAUUCAGGCUCUGAGUGCAGAGACCAAGACAAAAAAAGGGUCUCACUCAAGGGAAGUCUCAGCUCUGUCAGCAAAGGCUAAAGUCUUACUGAAUUUAUCAGAGCCUUAGCUUCACCCUGUUUGUACUUGAGCACCUCCCUGCUCAGGGUUGAUGACUUCAGGCUGGUCCCAGGUGGGAUGUGUGAUUCCCCCCAGGGCCUGGGGCUAAUUAGAGACCUCAGCAGAGGGCACCUCCAGGCCCCUGUAAGGGGAGGAGCUCAGGGGCUGGGUGGGAUGGUAAUGGGGUGCUUAUGGCUGGCCAGGGGUAAUUAUUUGGGUGCAGGCCCCUCCAAGACUACUCAAGGAAAGACUGCAGGGAGGAGCAGCUGGCCUGUGCAGAGACGUUUUGAGGAACGAGCUUUCAGCAGGAUCUGGAAUUCCUAAAGAGAAGCAAAACACAAUCAUGUGACUGAAGACUCAUUUCCAGGAAAAGCGGAAGAGGUUCUAGGAAAGAUCUGCCUUUGUGAUGAGCGCUCCCACAGUAAUCAACCCUGAGGAAAUUCAUGUCUGGACUGAUGAAGCUCAGUUUUAUUCUCGGUUCCCCACUGAGAAUAUUGAAGGCUUUAUUCCACCUGCAUUUUUUUUUUUUCUAAACCCUUCCUAAUUUAAAGGUCAGUGGAUUAGUUCUGGCUGCUUUGCUGUCAACUGUUCCAUGCCCUCUGCACAUGAUCUAGUACUUUUAGGAUCUGAAAACCAAAACCACAUGUGAAAUUUGCCAGGUGGACUUUCUGUUGCUUGGUGUUUUGUGAACAGGGGCACACAGGGUGUGUGUUUAAAUUCUGAGCUGGGUGUACUAAGCCUGGAUUUCAGUGAACCAAGAUGUUGUGCUGACACCAUAGAUAUGGACUGAUCCUUGAUACUGGGUUUUGUUUUUCAAGCUGGAUACAAUACCAGGCCUGUGUUGAGCUAUAUCCAUGCAGCGUGAGUACCUCUGUAUUUUACCUUCUCAUGUUUCCUGUUUUGUGUCCAAAAAUGUCUUGGGAUUGUCAUCUUGCUGAAGGAUACCCAAGGGCUUCUACUGAAUUCAGCCUGUUUUCUCUUUUCCUUAAUGAAUUGUCACAGAAUCGUAUUUUAUUCCCAGAAGGAGAAUCCUUUAAACUCCCCAUGUCAACUGUAGACUGUGCCCUGCAUAGAGCAAAAACUGUCAGGCAGACAGGAGGAGGACUUAGGGUUGUGAAAAUGGGCACUCAACACCAAGGAUCUCAAGAAAACUCGGUGUUCCUACAGAAACAGAGCUAACCUGCUUCCACGCCAAAGCACUGAAGGCUGGCAGGGGCAGAAGCAGCCCAUGUUUGGAUGCAUGAAGACUCCACAUUAUGAAAACCUCCCAAAAACAAUACAAAAAGAAAAAUAAAGUGUUUCAAAAUUUGAGCCCAAAGGAAAAGCAAAUUGACGUCUAACAAAAGACCGAUUUUCUUCUCCCGUAGAGAGGUGUCUGCCACUUACUCGAGCUGGCAAGGCAGUGUCUCAAAGGGCAAUUUAACCACGUUGCAUAAGGCCUUGGCUGGGUGGCUGUAGAAAUAUAGGGCCUCUUAUCUGAAUGCUGGCCACAGCUGUUAGAGAUCUUGAAGGAAUUAUCUCUGUGCCUGUCAAACAUCUGCUUUGUAAGCAAACAAAGAAGCUGAAACACUAGCAGUGCGCACGACCCACUGCAGCUCAUGGGGCAGAGCCAGGAGGCAGCAAACGGGAAACUUUUUCCCUGGCAUCAGAAACCUGAUGUUCCAUGAGUGACUCCGAUGGAUGGAUAGGCCUUCAUUCCUCUGUGUUUUAUAGACCUGUGCCUUGUCAUUGAAAAAUAGCCACUGUGGUCCAAGCACUGAUCUCAGUGUCUUUGGUAAGCUAUAAAUCAUCUACAGCUCUAUGAAUACUCUGGCAUAUAGCCUACAGAACUACAUUUAUUUUCUCUCUUACCACCCAGGAAUUGUUUCAUAUAAAUGUGGGUAGACCCAAAAGGUCUGAUGCUAAAAAUCGGGAUAUGCAUUGGACGCCUUGACAUUAAAUAUCUUCUUCCCUUCCUGUCUUCCCUCCCUUAGCCAUCACUGCAUUUUUCCUCCAAAAUACAUUCACAGUGUUUUGUCUUUGAACCAAGCUAGCUGCUUUCCCGUAGCUGUGAUAGUUUCUCCAUUACCAACACCCCCCCCCCCCCCCCCCCCCCAACACAUAGUAAAUACCCUUUGAGAGCCUGGCCACAGAGAGUGUGGGAUUCUUGUAUGCUAUGUAACCAGAAUACUCUGUAUUCUUUUGUGUGUUUUUUAUAUUAACACCAGUCCCAUAAAAACCUUCAAUAACUGCAUUGUUGUGUCUCCUUGCACGCAUGCAUGUGGGUCCAGAUCUGGUCCAAGUGCAAUGUGAACAUUCAGUCUCCUGAAAUAUAGAUGUUGUGGGAGAAUCUAGCCCAGCUAUGAGGACCAGCAACUGUGUGAGGAUACUGAUUUUGUAUUUUGUCCAUUCAAGACUUUCCUCCUUUGUUCUCUGUCAAAAAAGCACUUGCACUGUAGAGGAGGAUGGUGACAGUAUG